RNAcentral lists this ribosomal RNA (786 nucleotides) under uncultured Pelagibacteraceae bacterium. RNAcentral's name for it is "bacterial SSU rRNA". It matches the Rfam family "Bacterial small subunit ribosomal RNA", at positions 53 to 887 of the family's 1533-position model. Lineage: Bacteria; Pseudomonadati; Pseudomonadota; Alphaproteobacteria; Candidatus Pelagibacterales; Candidatus Pelagibacteraceae. The record is from RNAcentral.
ACAUGCAAGUCGAACGCAGUAGCAAUACUGAGUGGCGGACGGGUGAGUAUAAUGUGGGUAUCUGCCUUUUGGUUUGGAAUAACACGGGGAAACUUGUGCUAAUACUGGAUAAGCCUUUACAGGGAAAGCUUUAGCGCCAAAAGAUGAGCCCAUACUUGAUUAGCUAGUUGGUGAGGUAAUAGCUCACCAAGGCAACGAUCAAUAGCUGUUCUUAGAGGAAGACCAGCCACAUUGGGACUGAGACACGGCCCAAACUCCUACGGGAGGCAGCAGUGGGGAAUCUUGCACAAUGGGGGAAACCCUGAUGCAGCGAUGCCGCGUGAGUGAAGAAGGCCUUUGGGUUGUAAAGCUCUUUCGUCGGGGAAGAAAAUGACUGUACCCGAAUAAGAAGGUCCGGCUAACUUCGUGCCAGCAGCCGCGGUAAUACGAAGGGACCUAGCGUAGUUCGGAAUUACUGGGCUUAAAGAGCUCGUAGGUGGUUAAAAAAGUUGGUGGUGAAAGCCCAAGGCUUAACCUUGGAACUGCCCCCAAAACUUUUUGACUAGAGUAUGAUAGAGGUAAGUGGAAUUUCUAGUGUAGAGGUGAAAUUCGUAGAUAUUAGAAAGAACACCGAUUGCGAAGGCAACUUUCUGGAUCAUUACUGACACUGAGGAGCGAAAGCAUGGGUAGCGAAGAGGAUUAGAUACCCUCGUAGUCCAUGCUGUAAACGAUGUGUGCUAGACGUUGGAAAUUUAAUUUUCAGUGUCGCAGCAAAAGCGUUAAGCACACCGCCUGGGGAGUACGACC